UACAGAGGUCUCAAGCGUUGUUCGGAUUCAUUGGGCGUAAAGGGUGUGUAGGUGGCGCCGUAAGUCGGGUGUGAAAUUUCGGAGCUUAACUCCGAAACUGCAUUCGAUACUGCGGUGCUUGAGGACUGGAGAGGAGACUGGAAUUCAUGGUGUAGCAGUGAAAUGCGUAGAGAUCAUGAGGAAGACCAGUGGCGAAGGCGGGUCUCUGGACAGUUCCUGACACUGAGAAGCGAAAGCAUGGGGAGCGAACAGG
This 253-nucleotide ribosomal RNA is filed under the name uncultured bacterium. RNAcentral describes it as "partial 16S ribosomal RNA". It matches the Rfam family "Bacterial small subunit ribosomal RNA", at positions 524 to 776 of the family's 1533-position model. The record is from RNAcentral.